AUUGCAGAUAAAUGAAUGCAGGUGAAGAAGGGAAAAGAUAUAGUUGUUCUGAGGACCAUAACUCAUCAGAACACUGACCAGGUCAUAGAGGGCCAGGAGAUGGUCAGAAUUUCCUUCAGGUUCUUUGCAGCAAUGUGGGGAAAGAGAGCACACUUCCUGAUAACUCUGGUUGUCGCUGAGAGAAGCAGCACCCCACAGUAACUGGCACUUCUCCCUAGGACAAGCUGGGUAUGACUCCUAAUGGGAGUGGCCAGGGAAACAGAAGUCAAAACCAACUCAAAUGAAUUGUGGAAGAAGAGAGGUGCCUGGAAAAUGCUGAUAUGUAGAUGGGACAAAUACCCCAUAUGCUGAUGUCAGAUCACCAGCAUCCAUGUCACGAGGACCCUUGAGCAUCCUGAGGCCAGCAUCCAUGUCAUGAGGACCUUUGAGCAUCCCGUGGGGAGUGGUUCAUGUGGCAAAGAGCCAAGGCCUACCAGCAACAACAUAGUGAGCUUGGAAGCAGCCGCUCCUCUAUUUGAGCCUUAGAUGACUGCAGGUCCUCGAUUAUACCCUAUGCGAAAGGCCCCCAGCAAACCUGCAGCUGUUUUGUUCCACCUGUUUCCAUGUAAACUGGGAGAUGAUAAAUGUUUGUUGUUUUAAGUUA
Macaca mulatta (Rhesus monkey) is the source of this 643-nucleotide non-coding RNA. NCBI's taxonomy places the organism in Eukaryota, Metazoa, Chordata, Mammalia, Primates, Cercopithecidae. The record is from RefSeq and is a predicted model, not a curated record.